This 111-nucleotide ribosomal RNA is filed under the name Caerostris extrusa. The record is from RNAcentral. Lineage: Eukaryota; Metazoa; Arthropoda; Arachnida; Araneae; Araneidae.
AGCGGCCAAACUAUGCUGAAUAUAUAUCGGUUCUCGUUAGAUCACCGAAGUCAAGCAUCAUUGGGCGAGGUCAGUACUUUGGUGGGUGACACCUGGGAACAUCGCGUGCCG